GCGCUUGGUGGCAAUUUUAGCGGAAACUUUUGGUCUUCGGAACCGAGGGUUGGGGGUUCGAAUCCCUUCGGGCGUA
RNAcentral lists this transfer RNA (76 nucleotides) under Planctomycetaceae bacterium. Its description in RNAcentral is "tRNA-Arg". Lineage: Bacteria; Pseudomonadati; Planctomycetota; Planctomycetia; Planctomycetales; Planctomycetaceae. The record is from RNAcentral.